UCUCUUUACUCUCUCCCUUUCUUUCUCACACACAUGAGACCCACCAUCUACCACCCCACCUCUUCUCCAUACCACAUGUGCAAAACUCUUCACUCAAACAAACUUUGAAUUGACGAUGAAAAAGCACAGAGAAAUCAGAGGCGUUUGGAAUUAUGGUUUGUGAAACACAAUAUAUAUAAUGCAAAAAGGAAUCCAAAAUUGAUCUCUUUGUGCAAAAUUCUUCACUCAAACAAAGACUUCCAAAAGGAAUCCAACUAACUGAUCCAAAAAGCAACGUUGCUUUUCGGGAACAACACAUAUCCGCCAUUGAAGCUUUCAAGUAACUUAUUACAAUCCACAACUCCACAACUCAUGUUGCUUCCUUAACCCAAUCUAGGCCCAAGCAAUUUUAUCCCAUGACGUGCAAUGAAAUCACCUCUAGUGGUACCAAACCACAUCCCAAGCCGAUUAAAGUAGCAUAAUUGGUGUAGUUGUAAAUUGCCAUUUUAGUCCCUAAGUUUUGUCCAAAUUUGUCAUUUUAGUUCAAAUAGUUUUUUUU
Long non-coding RNA from Helianthus annuus (common sunflower), 538 nucleotides. RefSeq lists it as uncharacterized. The transcript has 2 exons. The record is from RefSeq and is a predicted model, not a curated record. Lineage: Eukaryota; Viridiplantae; Streptophyta; Magnoliopsida; Asterales; Asteraceae.